AGCAGGUGGUUCACCAAUUAAUUUUGACAGCAUUGGAGACAAUGGAACCUUUAGAAAUUAAAAUUUGUAAGUGGAUAGAACUAUUGUGGAAAAGGUCUCAGAGAGGUAAACAUUUCCACAACAGUAAAAAAAUUAAAAUCCACUUCCAAAUAAAAAUACCUGCUCAACGUGUGCAAUAUGCUUAGCGUUUUCAAUACUUUUCAUCGAAG
This 209-nucleotide small RNA is filed under the name Caenorhabditis elegans. RNAcentral's name for it is "Unclassified non-coding RNA F25H5.12". Lineage: Eukaryota; Metazoa; Nematoda; Chromadorea; Rhabditida; Rhabditidae. The record is from RNAcentral.